GGAUGUGCCAUGAACUUUGUGAUUUGGAGCAAGUCAUCCCACCUCGCUGGAAGUGUUUCCUCAUCUAGAGAAGAAAGAAUCUGAAGGCUGUGGGGACCUGGAGGCAAUCUGCCCCGCGUGGACUUGGAGCUCCCUCCGGCUGCAGUCGGACUGCCUGCUUCUCCAGGGACCAACAUGGCAGAGGCGCGAGAUCACCCCUUCAAGGGCCUUGCAAAUCAGUAACUAACACUUAUCAGCCUUUAGCCCGUUUUGAUCCUACAUGAUUUUGACCUUAUGGCUUGACUUUGGAAUCUUCCGUCUAUAAAAGCAUGGCUCUGCUG
Molecule: long non-coding RNA, 320 nt
Filed under: Equus asinus (donkey)
Lineage: Eukaryota; Metazoa; Chordata; Mammalia; Perissodactyla; Equidae
Description: lncRNA (ENSEASG00005032308.1)
Source: RNAcentral